Molecule: long non-coding RNA, 211 nt
Filed under: Carica papaya (papaya)
Lineage: Eukaryota; Viridiplantae; Streptophyta; Magnoliopsida; Brassicales; Caricaceae
Description: long non-coding RNA (CPAP_LNC015915)
Source: RNAcentral
CUCUGGCGACAGCACUGCUGUCCGUUGGCGGUUUACCUUGGGUCGGCUGUUUUUGAUUGGUUUUGUAUCAAUCCCUGUGAAAAAACACAUUAAGGGGCGUCGGUUUGCCAAAAAAAAAUAAAAAAACCAAAACUCAUCGUCGGCCAGUUUUUCUAGUGUGGCAGCUCUGCUGGCUCACCUUUGCAGUUGAGUAUUUUACUUUGAUCAACAU